Molecule: long non-coding RNA, 733 nt
Organism: Amphiprion ocellaris (clown anemonefish)
Lineage: Eukaryota; Metazoa; Chordata; Actinopteri; Pomacentridae
Source: Ensembl
AUUUUGGGCCGAUAUAUGGACUUUUUUCAAUAUCGGCCAUCGGCUGAUAUUUACAAAUAAAAAGCCGAUUUGUGAUCAGGCACCCGUACGGGCAGCUGCCACGACCGCUUUUCCCUUAGAAGGACCCCCGGCACUCAGAGAGCGGCGCAUGAGCGGAGCGAGUGAGCCAGGCAACAACAAGCCUCGCUCCACACCUGCUUAUUUGGUAAAAAAAUACAGAUGCACAAUGAGGGACGUCUGCAGCGACUGAGAAAGAGUCUCACCACAUCCUGACAUGAGGAAAAAGACUUUAUUGAAGACUACAAUGAGAAAAACUAUCAGACAGCAGACGGCUGCAUUCAAGAUAAGACAAGUACAAGAUUCUUCAGAGCCGUUCUACCACGAGCCUGACAGGAAGAACUCCAACAGCUACUGAAUGUUCCUGUGGUUCCCUCAAGGCUACAGGAGGAGUCCUACGAGGACGAGCUGGUCCAGCUGAUGGUGGCCAGUCGCUGCGGUUCAAAGCCAACACCGACUACGUGGACUUCUACUGGACCACAUGGAGGCCUUCAAACCGGACCAACAAGUUCAGCGACUCCCCGACUCGUGGGUCUGAGGACGCCGCCGAGCCUCGGUCCAGCUGGCCUCCUGUCUGUGGGUGUUUGAGUGCUGAGAGGUUUGUGGAUGCAUGUGAACGUUCUGUGUUGAAACAGCAGCUUUGGACUCAGUAACGCUGGUAAAAACCAAGAGCUCC